Molecule: ribosomal RNA, 407 nt
Filed under: uncultured bacterium
Lineage: Bacteria
Description: partial 16S ribosomal RNA
Rfam family: Bacterial small subunit ribosomal RNA
Source: RNAcentral
AUUGAACGCUAGCGGGAUGCCUUACACAUGCAAGUCGAACGGAGUGGCGAACGGGUGAGUAAUGUAGCGGAACGUGCCCAGUAGUGGGGGAUAACUACGCGAAAGCGUAGCUAAUACUGCAUACUAUUGGCGCGGCCGAUAGCGGAUUAGAUAGUUGGUGGGGUAACAGCUCACCAAGGCGAAGAGCCGUAUCUGGUUUGGUAGGACGACCAGCCAAACUGGAACUGAGACACGGCCCAGACUCCUACGGGAGGCAGCAGUGGGGAAUAUUGGACAAUGGGGGGAACCCUGAUCCAGCCAUCCCGCGUGUGCGAUGAAGGCCUUCGGGUUGUAAAGCACUUUUGUCAGGAAAGCGGUACCUGCAGAAUAAGCACCGGCUAACUACGUGCCAGCAGCCGCGGUAAUUC